UACGGGGGGGGCUAGCGUUGUUCGGAAUUACUGGGCGUAAAGGGUGCGUAGGCGGGUUUUUAAGUCAGGGGUGAAAUCCUGGAGCUCAACUCCAGAACUGCCUUUGAUACUGAAGAUCUUGAGUCCGGGAGAGGUGAGUGGAACUGCGAGUGUAGAGGUGAAAUUCGUAGAUAUUCGCAAGAACACCAGUGGCGAAGGCGGCUCACUGGCCCGGUACUGACGCUGAGGCACGAAAGCGUGGGGAGCAAACAGG
RNAcentral lists this ribosomal RNA (253 nucleotides) under uncultured bacterium. RNAcentral describes it as "partial 16S ribosomal RNA". It matches the Rfam family "Bacterial small subunit ribosomal RNA", at positions 524 to 776 of the family's 1533-position model. The record is from RNAcentral.